CAAUAGCGUAUAUUAAAGUUGUUGCAGUUAAAAAGCUCGUAGUUGGAUUUCUGAUUCGAUGAGACAAAAUCAUUUCGAUGAUAUUUGGAUUGUUGGAUCAUUUUUGGUAUGGGACCCCAUACUUUAUUAGGUUAAAGGAAUGGGUGGACCUCAUCAUUUACUGUGAAAAAAUUAGAGUGUUUAAAGCAGGCGUUCGCACCGAUUUGAAUACAUUAGCAUGGAAUAAUAAGAUACGACUUUGGUGGUCGAUUUUAUUGGUUUACAAACCAAAGUAAUGAUUAAUAGGGACAGUUGGGGGUAUUCAUAUUUCGGCGUCAGAGGUGAAAUUCUUGGAUCGCCGAAAGAUGAGCUUAGGCGAAAGCAUUUACCAAGGAUGUUUUCAUUAA
Molecule: ribosomal RNA, 386 nt
Filed under: uncultured eukaryote
Lineage: Eukaryota
Description: partial 18S ribosomal RNA
Rfam family: Eukaryotic small subunit ribosomal RNA
Source: RNAcentral